Long non-coding RNA from Cyprinus carpio (common carp), 1438 nucleotides. The record is from Ensembl. Lineage: Eukaryota; Metazoa; Chordata; Actinopteri; Cypriniformes; Cyprinidae.
UUUGUUUUAGCUGAUUUAAUAACCCUACUACAAACCUUUAACUACUUUUAAAUAUUUAAUAAUUUGAUAUUGACCCCUUAGAACAUCUGUCAGCCCAUUAGAAUGAAUCAAUCAUGAGUGCCUUUAUAAAUACAUGCAAUUCAUAAUUCUGAACAUGAGGUUAGGUUGGAGUCCAAGUAGUGCUGAACCCAUUUGUAUACUGCAGUAUGUCAUUAUGACCACUAGAUGACACUGUUAUACCUAAAGAUAGCUGGUGAAACCAUGAAGUCAAAUGCUGGUCACAGCCUCAAUCUUAAAUACAUCUGUGACGUAAAUUUGGAAAUUCCAAGAGCUUAUUUGUGAAAAUCCUGGGCUAUUCCUCGACCAUGUGAGUUUUCGCAGGCACGUGUGAUUUCUCUUGUGCUCACGUCAUAUUCCAGCUGCUCUAGAUUCUUUCCAAUUGAAGUUUCUCACCAUCCCACUUUCACAUGGUAAAAAUUAUCUUUCAUGUCAAAAACAUCAGAAUGGAUUACAGAUUUAUUGUAAACUAGGGUAAAGGCCUUUUAUACGUUUAAAGCCUCUGUAGCUACUUUUUGUGAAUCUUAUUUAGUUGUAUAUACUGUAUAUUUGUUAUAUAAUUAAAUGUACAAAGUGUAAAUGUUCAGUUAGUGUGGCCAUUAUGGAGGCUUUUAGAGAAACUGUCAUGGUGACAGGAGGUUUUGCUCAUCCAUGAUCUCCCUGUGGGGAGUUUGAUGAGGAGAUAUUGUCCAGUUGUUGUAUGUUAGGGUUGUAUUGGUUUGUGAGAGAUAUGAUGUAAUAAUAUUGUCUCAUUCUGUCUCUACAUUACUUUUUCCCUCUCUUUGUCAUGUAGAAGUCCUUUCUUGAAGAGACAGUUAGGCGUGAGUGUGAAGAGAGGGAAGAACUGAUUGCAGCACUGACCCUGACCAAAGAUCAACUACUGGAACUCAAACACUCCAAAACAAAACCAAAUGACACCCAGACACACACCCAGCUCUCCAGAGUCAGACCUACAGUGAAAAACCCGGAUCUCCCUUUCCCCAGACUCAAUCCCAGCCCUCCCAGCCAUCCUCAGACACGCAACCACAGCUCUUUGUCCACUCAGGGCACCAGGCAGCGUUUGUCUGAGUGGAAUUCUUGUAGUAUGAGUAGAAGUUCGACAUCCUGGCAUGGAUCAUCACUGCCAACACCCACCCUGCCCAAAAUCAGCAAAGAGAGAGUCACUUCAGUGAAUGACUUGUGCAAAAGCAUCACUAUGGUCAGAGGUUACCAUAUAGUUGAAAUGAUAGCAACACCAAGGGAAAGGUGGUAAGUAGCUAAUUACAAAUAUUUUUUGUUACAGUACAUAGGUACUUUUUUCUACUUUCUUAUAUAUAAUUAAAUUGUGGUACUUUUACUUGAGUUGAAUAAAAAUAGUAUUCAACUUUGCUACUUUUAUUUU